GAUCAGGCGUCCGACUGAAACCGCCGCCAUGGCACCGCGGUUCCGGUGGCAGGCAGCACGGAGCCCAGCAGGAAUGUCCGCUUCGACGACGCGGCAACUAAACCCUCAACUAAUCCGAGUCUGCAUGAAAUGCGUCUUCGCAUCUGCAUUUUGCUAACACGGAAAUAAGCACGUUAAAGGCUUCGGCGGAGACAGCCAGCAUUUGGUGGCUCAAUCGAACGGACUACAGGACGGGGGGGAAGAAACAACGGGACGCCUCUGCUUUCCUUCACCCCGAAAGCUGGUCUGCAGAGCCGCCAUGAAUGUUUCAACGGCUCGGAGAUAUUAUUUGAAAAUCCGUAACAAACAGCAAUUCACCCACCUGUCUUGUCAGUGGCAAACAAGCGAAGAGAAGAAAGCAAACGCAAGUCACGCCAGUGGUUUUGGGGUUUUUUUGUUUUUUAAAAAGUGCCUUUUUUCCAGGUAUAGACCCCGGGGAGUCAGGACGAAACGUAUCCGACGAGAGGAGCGUCUGGUUCGGUAUGAAACUCCGCCCAGCGCCGCAGGGGGAGGAACUCCGAAGAAAAACAUGCGAGAUAAUAGGAGACAAAGGCGGAGGCGACAGUUUGGCCUAGAGUUUUAUUUUUAUUAAACUUUUUACAAUAAAUUUUUAUUCAUUUGAAAUAAUUGAAACAAUUUUACAUCAUAGCUUGGUCCCCGAGUCACUGGCUAGCUACGCAGCUAAAGCACGUUGGCGGCAGCAUGGCGAGAGAAGUGGGCUCCUGGAGAGGCUUGCGGCCCAGGGGCUCCGAUGCCCGUAACCCAGGCACGCUCCCAUGUGAAGUGUGUUUCCCCGCUUGUGCGCGUCUCGUAUCGCCAAGGGCUUCGACACUCUGGGCCGCUUAAACCUGCGGCCGCAUAUCGCCUGUCCCCGGAGCCGCUAGCCAGCAAGCUAACCAGGCUAACGGAGCUAACUAGCUGCCUUGCCCCGGGAUUACGUAAUCUGGCGGCUCGUGUCCCGUUAGUCCCAUCGGGGCGCCUUAGUCACGUAUCGGGGGUUUACAUUGCAUUUGAACGCGUUUUAACUGCAAAACAAUAGGUUUGCAUGGUGGCUUUCCCCAGUCUGUCAUUCUUGCGAGCUUUUAGUGAUUUCGUGUAAUGGCUGAGGCACUGUGAAAGCUGGCGUGAGCAAAGCCACCCACGUACACUUCGUAACAUUACUAAUCGGUUGCUAAAUUCAUAAGAAUUCAGAUACGACUGUUCAUACACAGUUAAGCGUGGACACAUGCAUUUCUAAAUGCUUGGGUGCCGUUGCUGAGGGAUCACUGACCUGCCGACCUUGCGGUUAUGUGUAAAGAAUAGUGACGGUUUUGUUGGAUGAGAUAUUCAAAAUGAACAAUGCAUACCCUACAUCGGGUGUGCCUGUAUAUACUUGUGUAUUUUACUGUAUCUUCGAAUAUAUAAAAUGUACUGAAAUGUAGGCCAGUAGCAUCAUAAAAUUAAGUACAUUUGCUACCAUUCUCAGUAAAAAGAAUAAGUACUCACUGUGUGUUUAACAAUACAUCAUACACAAUACAAAGUAUUUCUUUUCAUUGAGCAUGUGGAAAAUAAUUUGGUUUUAAUCAUGAAAACCUAAUUUGUUUGGGAAUGUUAUUGGGCUGUCAUGGAAGAAAACUGACCAAAAAAAAAGGAAAUCGACAAGUAGAAAAAAAAUGUUUAUUUGUCACAUAUUUGAAGUAGAUAUACACAAACCAUUGAGCAUUAAAAUCUAGAACAUUAUAUGGAAGAAAUUACAUCCAUUGUCAUCCUUAAUGUCUAAUCUGAUUACCCUUAACUCCACAGCACUAUUUACUACACAGCAAUCUGAAUUUAAGACUCCCCCCAUCCAAAUCCUCACCAGCCAUCCCCUUUCAGUUUUCCAGCCAGUAUACAUUUAUUUCUGGGCUAAAAGAAACAGGACAUUGUUCAUGUCCAACUCUGACCCAUGUGAUUUAUAACCUAAAUAUUCACAUUUUGCAAUAAACUAUUACUGAAACAA
Molecule: long non-coding RNA, 2017 nt
Organism: Brienomyrus brachyistius
Lineage: Eukaryota; Metazoa; Chordata; Actinopteri; Osteoglossiformes; Mormyridae
Exons: 2
Source: RefSeq, a predicted model, not a curated record